UACGGAGGGGGCGAGCGUUAUUCGGAAUUACUGGGCGUAAAGGGCGCGUAGGCGGCCUGUUAAGUCGAACGUGAAAUCCCCGGGCUCAACCCGGGAACUGCGUCCGAUACUGGCAGGCUUGAAUCCGGGAGAGGGAUGUGGAAUUCCAGGUGUAGCGGUGAAAUGCGUAGAUAUCUGGAGGAACACCGGUGGCGAAGGCGGCAUCCUGGACCGGCAUUGACGCUGAGGCGCGAAAGCUAGGGGAGCAAACGGG
Molecule: ribosomal RNA, 253 nt
Filed under: uncultured bacterium
Lineage: Bacteria
Description: partial 16S ribosomal RNA
Rfam family: Bacterial small subunit ribosomal RNA
Source: RNAcentral